This 4766-nucleotide long non-coding RNA is filed under the name Nicotiana tabacum (common tobacco). RNAcentral's name for it is "long non-coding RNA (NTAB_LNC016917)". Lineage: Eukaryota; Viridiplantae; Streptophyta; Magnoliopsida; Solanales; Solanaceae. The record is from RNAcentral.
UUGAGAUCUAUAGGCAGCAUUUCCAGAGUUAUUCCCUAUAGGCAUGACAUAUAGUUGUUUAACACUGAUUUCAGAAACUUUGCAGGCAUGAUGAACAAUGAAAGAAAGCAUGUGACACUUGUUAUAAUAGGAGCUGGAUGAAAUUAUAUCCUAUAGAUAGGGCAUCUAUUUGUGAAAUUGAUUUUGAGACCUAUUAAACAUGAUUUCUAUCAUGGUAAGGCAAGUAUAGUAAAACUCUAUAGGCAUGAUUUCUAACAUGGUAAGGCAAACAUAGUAAAAUCCUAUAGGCAUGAUUUCUAACAUGGUAAGGCAAAUAUAGUAAAAUGUAAAGUCCUAUAAGCAUGGUUUCUAUCAACCUUACCCCACAAACAUGUAUAUAUCCACCCCUUUCACUAGUUACCCCUAUAUUCAUUUACAAAUUAUGACAGACCAGCAUUGAAAUGAAUUACAUAAGUAAAAAUGAAAAAUAAGAAGUUACACUAUAGAGAGCCUGAUUAGGACUUCCUCCCUGAGUUAUGUAAUAAACCACCUCAAGUGCCAAGAUUGUUCCAUAGCCUUUUUUCAUAUCUGGGUGCGUUAGAGUUCCCUAAAGAUCUCAAGGGAUCCUGUGCAGUGCUUGCACCUAGAUUGCAUAACCAAGACGGAGUAAGUGCAGUGAGGAAGGGUCAGCUUUUAUGUGUCUAAGUUCAGAGGGCACUCAAGGGUCCCAAGGCAAGGCUCACACAAAAGGGGCAGAACCUAGUGUUCUAAGAGUAUAUGUGAGAGUGCUUGACAUAGAUUUAAAAGAGGUUGAAUUAGAAAGCAGUUUUGAAACAGCAUAUUUGAAAUAAGUUUGCAAAACAACAGAAGAGUUGCUUAGGUAAAAAAUAUUUUUGAAAGGAUAAGGCGAUAGGAGCAAAAACAACUUGGAACAAGCCAGCACACACAGAACAAACUCAAAGAAUAGUAUCAUUCACAAGCAGGGAAGUAAGGGGGGUUGGGAACAUAGAGAGCCCAAAUUAGAAACACAUAAACAUGGAUGAGAGGAGAAGCAUAUAGACCAACAAGUACAAAGAACAAGUACAAAGAACAAGUAGCAAUUGAUUGGCCUCCAGAAUACAAAACUACUACUUCAAAGUGUUAACAAGGGAAUCAUGCUCGAAAUUAGAAUAGUAAUAAGACAUAAGGACAGGGUAUGUGAGUAGUCAUGUUGAGGACAGGGGUUUAUUACACAUAAUUAGUCAUGCCACUUAGUGUUAAUCAAGUACAUUAGAUGUCUAUGAUACUAACAUGGCAUACUAGUUGAGGGAAAUAAACAAGAACUCAAGUAGACAUGCUGAUUACACUUGAACAAAAGAGGGAAAAACUUAAACAUGUUGAAUAAAGCAGUAAACGAGAAAAGUAAUUAAACACAUAGGCCAUUAAAUUAGUGCAGAAGAAGACAUGGAGCACAUAGAGUUGAGUUUCAGAAUUGAACAAGGAAUAUACCAGUUAAGGAAGUAAAGUGCAGAAAAGUAAAGCAAGUAGAGUUCCAUAGUCUUGCCUUGGCUUUUAGCCGGCUAGACAAGCAGUUAGCACAAGUAGCAGAGAAAGAAGAGAGAGUUUGAGUGUGUGUGUGUGUGUGUAUUCUGAACUGUGUCCGUAUAAGAGUCAAAAUAAGAGAGUAUAUAUAGCACUUAGGGAGAUGAAAUAAAUAAGGUAAAAAUGACCUAGAUUUCAUAAAUAAAGUAGGUAAAUAUAAUCAGCAACUUAAUUGGGGCUAAUCCCCAUUAAUUUUGCACAAACAGAUCCGGGAAAGUCACGUUAAUACAAGGAGAAUCCAUUACCAGCCGUGAUUGGGGCUUAAAUAAGGUAACAAAUCAUAAAUUGACCAUAAAUUAAUCAAUCAGUUGGCAUAAGACAAAUAACACUAAUUACAAGCCACAAAUAAGGAAAGUAAGUAAAAACCCCAAAGAAUACUGACUUUAGCGAGAAAAAUUGGUUCAAAUCCAUAAUAGAAAAUUAAGCAAAAAAAUUACAAAGAAUACUGGUUUUAGCAGGAAAACUGGUUCAAAUCCUUAAUAGAAAUCAAUCAGUAUGUUGGGUUGACAGAAAUAAACAAAUAACGGAGAAAAAAUUGAAGAAAAUUAAUGCAACAAAUAGAAUUAUCUAGGUUUAAGUAUAUACACGAGAAUCAGUCAAGAUAGUAAAGAAACAAAGCACUGAAGAGUUAGAAAAACCCUUUUGAAAACACUUAGGGCGAACCCUAAUUUCAGAAGAAAGCGAAUAGAGUCGAAAUAGUUAACCAGAAUAGGAGAUCUUCAAGAGAAAGUGACAGAUAGUACUCGAACCCUUUCAGAUCUACAAAGAUCUGAACUGAUUCGAGUAGUUGUAAAACUAGGAUUUUUAAAAACAUCUGAUAUGAAAGAAACUUGAUUAAAAAUCGUAGAUUCGAACUAAAAACGGAAGGAAAUCAGUACUCACAAACAAGGAUGGCCCUAGACAGGCCUGUAAACAAACUUCGGACGAAGGAACAUGUCGAAUCUCCUUGAGAUUCUUUUAGGGAUCCAUGUAAUCAACAACCCGAGGGUAUAGAAGGCCGGUAGUGGUCGGAGAAUACUCAGAAUCUCCAUAGACGAGAGUUUCUCAUCGGUGAUGGCGAUUAGGGUUAGGCCUAGGAUUUGAGAGCAUUUGAGAGAAGAGAGAUUAGAUGUUGGCGUGUGAGAUGAGUGAAUGAGAGGGUCUGGGGGGUUAGGUCUAGGUUUAAUUAAGGAAAGGGGAAUGGGGACCGUUGAUCUGAAUGAUCAAUGCCAGGAUUGAAUGGGUUAGGUGGGUUCCAAGUGGACUUAGGGAUUGGGCCGGAUUCGGCCUGGAGUUUGGGUUGGGGCUGGUUAUAAUUUAAAUAAGCGUGGCUAGUUGUAAAAUACCCAAUUAAAAUUAGAUGAAUACUUAUUAAAAAUAGCUAAUUAGAUAAAAUAAAAUUAAAGCUAAAUAGGUGAAAUUAAGGUAAUUAACUAAUAUUAAAUAUAUAAAAUGACAGAUUAUUGAAUUAAAAUAGCAUAAAGUGUACAAUUAGGUUAUAAUUGCAAAACUGUUGUAAUUAUAGCCAAACAAUGCCAAAUUGGCUAAUUUGUGAAAUAACUAAAUCCUACUUGGAUUAAAAAUGAUAUAUUGAGCUAAGAAAUACUUUGAAAUUACUUGUAAUAUUAUUUAUGAAUAAUGAUUGGAUAUAAAGUACUGAAUAAAUUAGAAAAUAAAUUAAUAAUAAUAUGAAAAAUUAUGGAAAAAUACCAAUUAUUAUAAAAAGUGAUUUUGAAGACAUAUACUUAAAUUAAAAAAAUAGUUUAAAGAAAAGUUGGGUAACAACACCAAGUCACCGGUUUAAAAUCUCCAAACUUUUAUUUAUAGUCUGCGAACACAGAAAUUCGGGUAAGAAAUUCUGUUAGCCCGGGAGAAGGUGUUAGGCAUUCCCGGGUUCCGUGGUUUUAGCACGGUCGCUUUGAUCAUACUUGCCUUAUUAAAUUUUUUAGCUACUCAUUUUAGAACCUAUGUGCUUUCACCCCUUUUAAUUAAGAAAUUAUCCUAAAAAAAACGAGUCACGCGUACGUGUACCCAUUUGUUUGGCGCGUCAAAAAUGAUGUUACGCGAACGUGUCCAUAAUUAAUAACACUUUGUUAUUAUUAAGAAAGUUUAGUCGAAGUUCCUCGAACGCAUACCCCGAUUUUAUUUUUAAAAAUCGUAACCAUGUCAUGCGAACGUGUCCACAAUCAUGACAAUAAAUUCAAAAACGUGCCUAAAGCACUCUAACAAAUGUUCAUUUUUAUUUUUCUAAUAGCUAAUAAAAAUUUUCCACACACAAGUCAGCAACUAUAAUUUGAAAGCUACAAAUUCAUUAGUAAAUUAAUGCAUGUUCCCAGCCAUAUGAUGUAUAUAUAAGGAUACGCCUACUUAGCGUAAACAUAUAUUUAAAAACCUUAAGCGCAUUUAUUAGACAAGAGUCUUCAAAGUAUAUAUAAUUGCAAGAAGUUAACAAGAUUAUAAAUAAGUGUUUGCUUAUAAAAGAAACAAUAUAGUGUAUAGAAGAUCAAGAAAUAGUAUAAUCUAAUUAAAAAAACUUAAAAAUUACUAUAUUUUCACCUAAAGUUUCCAUCCCUUCUCUUCCAACAAUCAGCCAGUAGGUUUACUAGCUCUUUAACUAGGUGGCAUCCAAGUCAAAUUAAAUUAAACACAAGAUUCCAGAGUAUUCAUCAAGGCAAAAAAUUGAGUCCCAAUAAUCAAAUAUCAAUUAAGUUAAAUAUCACUAAUCGGAAGCAUGGUCUGAAUCAUACCAUCAAAAUCAAACUUGAAAUUUAAAGGAGUAUCAAGUGAGAAUUGGACCUUUAUUAAUUACGUCCUAACUUUAAAAUUUCUGCAACUCAACAAACGGACCUAACACCGGCGACAAUGAUCGGAAAUCAAUGACAACAAACUCAAACUUGACUCUCUUGGACAGCUUCGAACUAGAAAUAGGGAUCCAGUGAUUCGACUGUUUCGAUUCUCGUGAAUUUCUGCUCAUUUUCAGUGUGUCAUUCUAUACAAAGUAUGCAACUAUAUAUAUACACAAAAUUUUACUGCCUGUGAAAGAGUCAAUUUCAAUAUCCUAACAAACUCCUGGGUGUGGCCAAUUUUUUGGUGAAGAAAGGGUUAAGCUUCAUUAGAGUUUUGUUGAUUUUGUUGAAGAUGAAGCCAUUUUUGUUUUGGAGUAUUUUUUUUCUUUUUGAGAUUGGCCACGGCUGAAGCUCUAGAAUUAGGGGUUGUCGCUAGGUCUA